RNAcentral lists this transfer RNA (87 nucleotides) under bacterium. Its description in RNAcentral is "tRNA-Leu". It matches the Rfam family "tRNA". Rfam says of the family: Transfer RNA (tRNA) molecules are approximately 80 nucleotides in length. Their secondary structure includes four short double-helical elements and three loops (D, anti-codon, and T loops). The record is from RNAcentral.
GCCGGGGUGGCGGAACAGGUAGACGCUGGGGACUUAAAAUCCCCUGGCUAUAACAUGGCCGUGCCGGUUCGAGUCCGGCCCUCGGCA